CCUACGGGAGGCUGCAGUGAGGAAUAUUGGUCAAUGGACGAGAGUCUGAACCAGCCAAGUAGCGUGAAGGAUGACGGCCCUAUGGGUUGUAAACUGCUUUUAUAUGGGAAUAAAACAGGGUAUGCAUACCCUCUUGUAUGUACCAUAUGAAUAAGGAUCGGCUAACUCCGUGCCAGCAGCCGCGGUAAUACGGAGGAUCCAAGCGUUAUCCGGAUUUAUUGGGUUUAAAGGGUGCGUAGGUGGUUUGUUAAGUCAGUUGUGAAAGUUUGCGGCUCAACCGUAGAAUUGCCGUUGAAACUGGUCGUCUUGAGUACAGUUGCGGUAGGCGGAAUUCGUGGUGUAGCGGUGAAAUGCUUAGAUAUCACGAAGAACACCGAUUGCGAAGGCAGCUCACCAGACUGCAUCUGACAUUGAUGCUCGAAAGUGUGGGUAUCAAACAGGAUUAGAUACCCCUGUAGUC
This 460-nucleotide ribosomal RNA is filed under the name uncultured bacterium. RNAcentral's name for it is "partial 16S ribosomal RNA". It matches the Rfam family "Bacterial small subunit ribosomal RNA", at positions 338 to 795 of the family's 1533-position model. The record is from RNAcentral.